UACGUAGGCAGCGAGCGUUGUUCGGAGUUACUGGGCGUAAAGAGUGCGUAGGCGGUUUUCUAAGUUUGGUGUGAAAUCUCCCGGCUCAACUGGGAGGGUGCGCCGAAGACUGGAAGGCUUGAGUAUGGGAGAGGUAAGCGGAAUUCCUGGUGUAGCGGUGAAAUGCGCAGAUAUCAGGAGGAACACCAAUAGCGAAGGCAGCUCGCUGGGACGGUACUGACGCUAAGGCGCGAAAGCGUGGGGAGCGAACAGG
RNAcentral lists this ribosomal RNA (253 nucleotides) under uncultured bacterium. Its description in RNAcentral is "partial 16S ribosomal RNA". It matches the Rfam family "Bacterial small subunit ribosomal RNA", at positions 524 to 776 of the family's 1533-position model. The record is from RNAcentral.